RNAcentral lists this ribosomal RNA (497 nucleotides) under uncultured bacterium. RNAcentral's name for it is "partial 16S ribosomal RNA". It matches the Rfam family "Bacterial small subunit ribosomal RNA", at positions 28 to 507 of the family's 1533-position model. The record is from RNAcentral.
GAUGAACGCUGGCGGCGUGCCUAAUACAUGCAAGUCGAGCGAACAGAUAAGGAGCUUGCUUCUUUGAUGUUAGCGGCGGACGGGUGAGUAACACGUGGGUAACCUACCUAUAAGACUGGGAUAACUCCGGGAAACCGGGGCUAAUGCCGGAUAACAUUUAGAACCGCAUGGUUCAAAAGUGAAAGAUGGUUUUACUAUCACUUAUAGAUGGACCCGCGCUGUAUUAGCUAGUUGGUAAGGUAACGGCUUACCAAGGCAACGAUACGUAGCCGACCUGAGAGGGUGAUCGGCCACACUGGAACUGAGACACGGUCCAGACUCCUACGGGAGGCAGCAGUAGGGAAUCUUCCGCAAUGGGCGAAAGCCUGACGGAGCAACGCCGCGUGAGUGAUGAAGGUCUUCGGAUCGUAAAACUCUGUUAUUAGGGAAGAACAAAUGUGUAAGUAACUGUGCACAUCUUGACGGUACCUAAUCAGAAAGCCACGGCUAACUACGUG